GGUUAAGCGACUAAGCGUACACGGUGGAUGCCCUGGCAGUCAGAGGCGAUGAAGGACGUGCUAAUCUGCGAUAAGCGUCGGUAAGGUGAUAUGAACCGUUAUAACCGGCGAUUUCCGAAUGGGGAAACCCAGUGUGUUUCGACACACUAUCAUUAACUGAAUCCAUAGGUUAAUGAGGCGAACCGGGGGAACUGAAACAUCUAAGUACCCCGAGGAAAAGAAAUCAACCGAGAUUCCCCCAGUAGCGGCGAGCGAACGGGGAGGAGCCCAGAGCCUGAAUCAGUGUGUGUGUUAGUGGAAGCGUCUGGAAAGGCGCGCGAUACAGGGUGACAGCCCCGUACACAAAAAUGCACAUAUUGUGAGCUCGAUGAGUAGGGCGGGACACGUGGUAUCCUGUCUGAAUAUGGGGGGCCCAUCCUCCAAGGCUAAAUACUCCUGACUGACCGAUAGUGAACCAGUACCGUGAGGGAAAGGCGAAAAGAACCCCGGCGAGGGGAGUGAAAAAGAACCUGAAACCGUGUACGUACAAGCAGUGGGAGCACGCUUAGGCGUGUGACUGCGUACCUUUUGUAUAAUGGGUCAGCGACUUAUAUUCUGUAGCAAGGUUAACCGAAUAGGGGAGCCGAAGGGAAACCGAGUCUUAACUGGGCGUUAAGUUGCAGGGUAUAGACCCGAAACCCGGUGAUCUAGCCAUGGGCAGGUUGAAGGUUGGGUAACACUAACUGGAGGACCGAACCGACUAAUGUUGAAAAAUUAGCGGAUGACUUGUGGCUGGGGGUGAAAGGCCAAUCAAACCGGGAGAUAGCUGGUUCUCCCCGAAAGCUAUUUAGGUAGCGCCUCGUGAAUUCAUCUCCGGGGGUAGAGCACUGUUUCGGCAAGGGGGUCAUCCCGACUUACCAACCCGAUGCAAACUGCGAAUACCGGAGAAUGUUAUCACGGGAGACACACGGCGGGUGCUAACGUCCGUCGUGAAGAGGGAAACAACCCAGACCGCCAGCUAAGGUCCCAAAGUCAUGGUUAAGUGGGAAACGAUGUGGGAAGGCCCAGACAGCCAGGAUGUUGGCUUAGAAGCAGCCAUCAUUUAAAGAAAGCGUAAUAGCUCACUGGUCGAGUCGGCCUGCGCGGAAGAUGUAACGGGGCUAAACCAUGCACCGAAGCUGCGGCAGCGACGCUUAUGCGUUGUUGGGUAGGGGAGCGUUCUGUAAGCCUGCGAAGGUGUGCUGUGAGGCAUGCUGGAGGUAUCAGAAGUGCGAAUGCUGACAUAAGUAACGAUAAAGCGGGUGAAAAGCCCGCUCGCCGGAAGACCAAGGGUUCCUGUCCAACGUUAAUCGGGGCAGGGUGAGUCGACCCCUAAGGCGAGGCCGAAAGGCGUAGUCGAUGGGAAACAGGUUAAUAUUCCUGUACUUGGUGUUACUGCGAAGGGGGGGACGGAGAAGGCUAUGUUGGCCGGGCGACGGUUGUCCCGGUUUAAGCGUGUAGGCUGGUUUUCCAGGCAAAUCCGGAAAAUCAAGGCUGAGGCGUGAUGACGAGGCACUACGGUGCUGAAGCAACAAAUGCCCUGCUUCCAGGAAAAGCCUCUAAGCAUCAGGUAACAUCAAAUCGUACCCCAAACCGACACAGGUGGUCAGGUAGAGAAUACCAAGGCGCUUGAGAGAACUCGGGUGAAGGAACUAGGCAAAAUGGUGCCGUAACUUCGGGAGAAGGCACGCUGAUAUGUAGGUGAAGUCCCUUGCGGAUGGAGCUGAAAUCAGUCGAAGAUACCAGCUGGCUGCAACUGUUUAUUAAAAACACAGCACUGUGCAAACACGAAAGUGGACGUAUACGGUGUGACGCCUGCCCGGUGCCGGAAGGUUAAUUGAUGGGGUCAGCGCAAGCGAAGCUCUUGAUCGAAGCCCCGGUAAACGGCGGCCGUAACUAUAACGGUCCUAAGGUAGCGAAAUUCCUUGUCGGGUAAGUUCCGACCUGCACGAAUGGCGUAAUGAUGGCCAGGCUGUCUCCACCCGAGACUCAGUGAAAUUGAACUCGCUGUGAAGAUGCAGUGUACCCGCGGCAAGACGGAAAGACCCCGUGAACCUUUACUAUAGCUUGACACUGAACAUUGAGCCUUGAUGUGUAGGAUAGGUGGGAGGCUUUGAAGUGUGGACGCCAGUCUGCAUGGAGCCGGCCUUGAAAUACCACCCUUUAAUGUUUGAUGUUCUAACGUGGACCCGUGAUCCGGGUUGCGGACAGUGUCUGGUGGGUAGUUUGACUGGGGCGGUCUCCUCCUAAAGAGUAACGGAGGAGCACGAAGGUUGGCUAAUCCUGGUCGGACAUCAGGAGGUUAGUGCAAUGGCAUAAGCCAGCUUGACUGCGAGCGUGACGGCGCGAGCAGGUGCGAAAAGCAGGUCAUAGUGAUCCGGUGGUUCUGAAUGGAAGGGCCAUCGCUCAACGGAUAAAAGGUACUCCGGGGAUAACAGGCUGAUACCGCCCAAGAGUUCAUAUCGACGGCGGUGUUUGGCACCUCGAUGUCGGCUCAUCACAUCCUGGGGCUGAAGUAGGUCCCAAGGGUAUGGCUGUUCGCCAUUUAAAGUGGUACGCGAGCUGGGUUUAGAACGUCGUGAGACAGUUCGGUCCCUAUCUGCCGUGGGCGCUGGAGAACUGAGGGGGCUGCUCCUAGUACGAGAGGACCGGAGUGGACGCAUCACUGGUGUUCGGGUUGUCAUGCCAAUGGCACUGCCCGGUAGCUAAAUGCGGAAGAGAUAAGUGCUGAAAGCAUCUAAGCACGAAACUUGCCCCGAGAUGAGUUCUCCCUGACCCUUUAAGGGUCCUGAAGGAACGUUGAAGACGACGACGUUGAUAGGCCGGGUGUGUAAGCGCAGCGAUGCGUUGAGCUAACCGGUACUAAUGAACCGUGAGGCUUAACCUU
RNAcentral lists this ribosomal RNA (2905 nucleotides) under Shigella sonnei. Its description in RNAcentral is "23S ribosomal RNA". It matches the Rfam family "Bacterial large subunit ribosomal RNA". Lineage: Bacteria; Pseudomonadati; Pseudomonadota; Gammaproteobacteria; Enterobacterales; Enterobacteriaceae. The record is from RNAcentral.